Molecule: unclassified non-coding RNA, 489 nt
Filed under: plant metagenome
Description: partial contains small subunit ribosomal RNA and internal transcribed spacer 1
Source: RNAcentral
AAGUCGUAACAAGGUUUUUGGGUCCUUCUUCACCUGUAGAAGCCUUAUGCUGAGCGACUCUAAAGAAACAGUAUAGUCUUGUUAAGAUUUUCUCAACGAGGCGACGUUCCUAACAUGCUGGAAUUUUCCCCCGGGAUUUAACCAGCAGCCCUCGUGGAUAUCGCCUACGAGGGUUCACAGAUCAGAUAGGAGCGGUCAACCACCGAGGAUUUCACCAUCUUUUCGCGGUUGAUUUUAGAUAUGACCGGUUAUACCUAGCGUGAGGUAUAGAGAAACGUUCCGUAGGUGAACCUGCGGAAGGAUCAUUACCGAGUUAGGGUCCUUCGGGGCCCAAUCUCCAACCCUUUGUUUAUACCACUUUGUUGCUUUUGGCAGGCCCGCCCUUUCGGGGCCGCCGGGGUGUUUAGUCACCUCUGGCCCGCGCUUGCCAGUGGCCCAAUUAAAAUCUUUAAUAAUAAUGCAGUCUGAAUCUUUAUUAAUAUAAUUAAA